Molecule: non-coding RNA, 75 nt
Organism: Myotis davidii
Lineage: Eukaryota; Metazoa; Chordata; Mammalia; Chiroptera; Vespertilionidae
Source: Rfam
GGCGGUUCUUGGGGGAUGCACUCCAGAAUCAGCCUCCCUCCUCUCUGGUUCCGGGUGUGUCACCAGAGAACUGCA